Molecule: transfer RNA, 71 nt
Filed under: Marmota monax (woodchuck)
Lineage: Eukaryota; Metazoa; Chordata; Mammalia; Rodentia; Sciuridae
Description: tRNA.Ala
Source: RNAcentral
GGGGUUGUGGCUCUGGGGUAGAGCACUUGCCUAGCAUGUGUGAGGCACUGGGUCCGAUCCCCAGCACCACA